RNAcentral lists this ribosomal RNA (484 nucleotides) under uncultured bacterium. Its description in RNAcentral is "partial 16S ribosomal RNA". It matches the Rfam family "Bacterial small subunit ribosomal RNA", at positions 30 to 507 of the family's 1533-position model. The record is from RNAcentral.
AUUGAACGCUGGCGGCAGGCCUAACACAUGCAAGUCGAGCGGAUGAAGGGAGCUUGCUCCUGGAUUCAGCGGCGGACGGGUGAGUAAUGCCUAGGAAUCUGCCUGGUAGUGGGGGAUAACGCCCGGAAACGGGCGCUAAUACCGCAUACGUCCUGAGGGAGAAAGUGGGGGAUCUUCGGACCUCACGCUAUCAGAUGAGCCUAGGUCGGAUUAGCUAGUUGGUGGGGUAAAGGCCUACCAAGGCGACGAUCCGUAACUGGUCCGAGAGGAUGAUCAGUCACACUGGAACUGAGACACGGUCCAGACUCCUACGGGAGGCAGCAGUGGGGAAUAUUGGACAAUGGGCGAAAGCCUGAUCCAGCCAUGCCGCGUGUGUGAAGAAGGUCUUCGGAUUGUAAAGCACUUUAAGUUGGGAGGAAGGGCAGUAAGUUAAUACCUUGCUGUUUUGACGUUACCAACAGAAUAAGCACCGGCUAACUUCGUG